UACGAAGGGGGCUAGCGUUACUCGGAUUGACUGGGCGUAAAGGGCGCGUAGGCGGUUUGUACAGUCAGACGUGAAAUUCCUGGGCUCAACCUGGGGGCUGCGUUUGAUACGUGCAGACUUGAGUUCGGAAGAGGGUCGUGGAAUUCCCAGUGUAGAGGUGAAAUUCGUAGAUAUUGGGAGGAACACCGGUGGCGAAGGCGACCACCUGGACGGAGACUGACACUGAGGCGCGAAAGCGUGGGGAGCAAACAGG
RNAcentral lists this ribosomal RNA (253 nucleotides) under uncultured bacterium. Its description in RNAcentral is "partial 16S ribosomal RNA". It matches the Rfam family "Bacterial small subunit ribosomal RNA", at positions 524 to 776 of the family's 1533-position model. The record is from RNAcentral.